Molecule: transfer RNA, 76 nt
Filed under: Neisseria weixii
Lineage: Bacteria; Pseudomonadati; Pseudomonadota; Betaproteobacteria; Neisseriales; Neisseriaceae
Description: Neisseria sp. 10022 tRNA-Pro
Rfam family: tRNA
About the family: Transfer RNA (tRNA) molecules are approximately 80 nucleotides in length. Their secondary structure includes four short double-helical elements and three loops (D, anti-codon, and T loops). Further hydrogen bonds mediate the characteristic L-shaped molecular structure. tRNAs have two regions of fundamental functional importance: the anti-codon, which is responsible for specific mRNA codon recognition, and the 3' end, to which the tRNAs corresponding amino acid is attached (by aminoacyl-tRNA synthetases). tRNAs cope with the degeneracy of the genetic code in two manners: having more than one tRNA (with a specific anti-codon) for a particular amino acid; and 'wobble' base-pairing, i.e. permitting non-standard base-pairing at the 3rd anti-codon position.
Source: RNAcentral
CGGAAUGUAGCGCAGCCUGGUAGCGCACCUGCAUGGGGUGCAGGGGUCGGAGGUUCGAAUCCUCUCAUUCCGACCA